Molecule: long non-coding RNA, 243 nt
Organism: Clarias gariepinus (North African catfish)
Lineage: Eukaryota; Metazoa; Chordata; Actinopteri; Siluriformes; Clariidae
Exons: 3
Source: RefSeq, a predicted model, not a curated record
CAGAAACAAGGGAGGAAUGAUCAGAAAGAAGACCAGAGAUAUAAUCUUCAUCUUCAAGUUCUUGAUCUGAGCCUGGAGGUGAAUGUAUGAAGAGAGUAUCUCCUGAAAUGUCUUAUGGUGUAUUUAGUGGAAGAUGUGGACCAACUGUUUAAACACUGGUUGUUCAGAAAGAUGAAGCUCAGGCUGAACUUGAGAGGUGCACGAUGGCCCUGUUUGUCCUCAGGGAGGAAGAGGCCUGUCCUC